AGCCACAAAUAUGAUUCCCAUUCCGAAAUUCAUUCAUAUUUUCGCAAACAGAAAAGAUACCCAUCUUAGAAUGCUUCUUAUCAAGGCUUAAGGUACCUUUGCAAUUCACUAUGACAUUUUCACAAGCAUUUUCAAUAUCUAACUUCUCCAAUGACAAGAAACACAUUGUCUUCUCUGCCUUUUCCUAAUGUCAAACUCACUCUCCUUAAGUCUUAUAUGAUUGCAGUAUCUCAAAUCCAAUGCACUAUCACCAAGAUUCCAGUGCCUUUUUUCACAUUUUAGUUCUUCAUAAAUUAUCAUAUCUUCUUCUUUUAAUUGAAACAUGCUCAACAAAAACACUUUUUUUAUUUUCAAGAAGUUUAACAUGUCUAGCGUCAAGAAAGAUACCUUCCUUAUUAAAGACUUCAACUUCAACGGAGAGAUUGAUAUCCCUGUCACUUUGAAUUUCCAAUUGAAUUGUUGGAGUUGGAUUGAUUGAAUGGUCAUAGUGAAUAGAGACCCAUUUCUCUCAACCAAUUUUUGUUUAAGAUUGUGCCCACUUCUCUCCUUGAAAUUAGCUAUAUAACCAUCUUGAAUUGGUAAUCUUAAUUCACGAUCCUCACUCCAAAAUACCUAAAAAAUGUGGGCUUUCAAUUUUGAAGCUCAAAACAACUCCAAAAUCUGAAUCAUUUUCUAUGACAGCUCCAUUUUGUUUCGAUCCAUCUGUUGUACAAGCUCACUUCUUUCCUCCCGAUUCCUUACCCUAGAUGCAUGAAGUUCUUGGCUGGGACCUCCCAAUCUUGUUCAAGUAAUUGCAUGUGAUUCUCCAGGCCUAGUGACACCCUAGGGUUUUCCAUCGAUUGGUUUUUCCUUGCCAAAUUCAAUUUUGCCACAGUUGGGUCCUCUAAAUCACUGAGCUCUGAUACCAAGUUAUUAGGGCCAUAGCUCAUAAGACCUAACACUCUGUCUAGAUUGACAGAAGAAUGUUAAAGAAAAGAAGAAGAUUGGAAGAGAGAAGG
RNAcentral lists this unclassified non-coding RNA (998 nucleotides) under Hevea brasiliensis (rubber tree). Lineage: Eukaryota; Viridiplantae; Streptophyta; Magnoliopsida; Malpighiales; Euphorbiaceae. The record is from RNAcentral.